UGGCCGGGGCUCGACAGGCAAGCAUUGGUACUUUGUUUUAUACAGCGUAGUUUUUCUGAGUUUGUUGUCUUAUGGACCCUCGGUGAUUGGCGGUUCAACCCAUUACUUGCGGUGCUGUUGCACCGAGGUGCUGCAUGCACAAUGUUGUCUUCAGCUCGUUUCGUGAGAGUUCGGCUU
This 177-nucleotide ribosomal RNA is filed under the name Scrippsiella hangoei. Its description in RNAcentral is "partial Bacterial small subunit ribosomal RNA". The record is from RNAcentral. Lineage: Eukaryota; Dinophyceae; Peridiniales; Peridiniaceae.